AGUUUGAUCAUGGCUCAGGAUGAACGCUAGCGGGAGGCCUAACACAUGCAAGCCGAGCGGUAUUGUUUCUUCGGAAAUGAGAGAGCGGCGUACGGGUGCGGAACACGUGUGCAACCUGCCUUUAUCUGGGGGAUAGCCUUUCGAAAGGAAGAUUAAUACUCCAUAACAUAUUGAACGGCAUCGUUUAAUAUUGAAAGCUCCGGCGGAUAGAGAUGGGCACGCGCAAGAUUAGCUAGUUGGUGAGGUAACGGCUCACCAAGGCGAUGAUCUUUAGGGGGCCUGAGAGGGUGAUCCCCCACACUGGUACUGAGACACGGACCAGACUCCUACGGGAGGCAGCAGUGAGGAAUAUUGGUCAAUGGGUGCAAGCCUGAACCAGCCAUCCCGCGUGAAGGACGACUGCCCUAUGGGUUGUAAACUUCUUUUGUAUAGGGAUAAACCUACCCUCGUGAGGGUAGCUGAAGGUACUAUACGAAUAAGCACCGGCUAACUCCGUGCCAGCAGCC
Molecule: ribosomal RNA, 506 nt
Filed under: uncultured Bergeyella sp.
Lineage: Bacteria; Pseudomonadati; Bacteroidota; Flavobacteriia; Flavobacteriales; Weeksellaceae
Description: bacterial SSU rRNA
Rfam family: Bacterial small subunit ribosomal RNA
Source: RNAcentral